AUUGAACGCUGGCGGCAGGCCUAACACAUGCAAGUCGAACGAGUGGCGGACGGGUGCGUAAUGUGUGGGAAACUGCCUGAUGGAGGGGGAUCACUACUGGAAACGGUAGCUAAUACCGCAUACCAUCGGAUGUGCCCAGAUGGGAUUAGCUAGUUGGUGGGGAAACGGGUCACCUAGGCGACGAUCCCUAGCUGGUCUGAGAGGAGGACCAGCCAGACGGGAACGGAGACACGGUCCAGACUCCUACGGGAGGCAGCAGUGGGGAAUAUUGCACAAUGGGCGCAAGCCUGAUGCAGCCAUGCCGCGUGUAUGAAGAAGGCCUUCGGGUUGUAAAGUACUUUCAGCGGGGAGGCGUUACCCGCAGAAGAAGCACCGGCUAACUCCGUGCCAGCAGCCGCGGUAAUUC
RNAcentral lists this ribosomal RNA (406 nucleotides) under uncultured bacterium. Its description in RNAcentral is "partial 16S ribosomal RNA". It matches the Rfam family "Bacterial small subunit ribosomal RNA", at positions 29 to 526 of the family's 1533-position model. The record is from RNAcentral.